GAUGAACGCUGGCGGCGUGCCUAAUACAUGCAAGUCGAGCGAACAGACGAGGAGCUUGCUCCUCUGACGUUAGCGGCGGACGGGUGAGUAACACGUGGAUAACCUACCUAUAAGACUGGGAUAACUUCGGGAAACCGGAGCUAAUACCGGAUAACAUGUUGAACCGCAUGGUUCAACAGUGAAAGACGGUCUUGCUGUCACUUAUAGAUGGAUCCGCGCCGCAUUAGCUAGUUGGUAAGGUAACGGCUUACCAAGGCAACGAUGCGUAGCCGACCUGAGAGGGUGAUCGGCCAAACUGGAACUGAAACACGGUCCAGACUCCUACGGGAGGCAGCAGUAGGGAAUCUUCCGCAAUGGGCGAAAGCCUGACGGAGCAACGCCGCGUGAGUGAAGAAGGUCUUCGGAUCGUAAAACUCUGUUAUUAGGGAAGAACAAAUGUGUAAGUAACUAUGCACGUCUUGACGGUACCUAAUCAGAAAGCCACGGCUAACUACGUG
RNAcentral lists this ribosomal RNA (497 nucleotides) under uncultured bacterium. RNAcentral's name for it is "partial 16S ribosomal RNA". It matches the Rfam family "Bacterial small subunit ribosomal RNA", at positions 28 to 507 of the family's 1533-position model. The record is from RNAcentral.